CGGGGUUGACCUAAUAACUCAGUGUCCGUUAAAUUGUCAGGAUCAACGUCUAGGUUAAGUUUCAAAACACAGCAACAAGAUUUACUAUCUUUUUGUGGAAGCACCGUAGCCUAGUGGUUAUGGUUUAAGGGCUUCUACACCCAGGUCUGGGGUUCAAAUCCCAGACUAUGCAAUUUCUUGCAGAUUGCACAGGAAAUCCAGGUUUCAAUUCCCGGAGCAAGCGAUUUAUUCAACAAUUAUGCGAUUACGGAAGAAAGGCUUACAAGAGUUUCUCAACAUGGUGCAAGUAAAUCCGGUCAGGCGUGAUCUUCAUAGGACGGCUCAAAUGAUGCAGUUAGGCGUAGAUCCUCAUAAGGCAGGUAAUAUUGUCGGUUAUCAAAUCGUCUUUGUAAUCUUUCUCAUAAUUGUAAUAUCUAAAUAAAUCCCCGACAAAAAAAAAAUUUACUAUCUUUUUACUUCUUUUUUUUUCUUUUUUUUUUACUUCCACAAGCAUAAAUUACAGAUUUUAUACACCUAUCUAUCCAAUAACUCCGUCAGAUUAAAAUGGGACCCACAUAAUCACAGUUAGGAUUCGGAAUGAUAAACCAAAGCAAACACCUACUAGAUAACUUUUGAAGCCUGUCUGAUUCCUUCCACAUUCAUUACUAACAGAUAUUUGUCUUUCAUUCCGCCAAGUAUACUAGUUAGCCACGUCACGCAAUUGUUUUUUCCUAGUGGUCGCAAGUGGGUCCCGACUAUUUUAUCCUUCCUAUUAUAUUGGACACAAAAUAGAUAAAUACUCCGAUAGUCCGAUGUAUAAUGGACGGCCUCAAGUGAAUAGGUCUAUAUUCAAUUUCACCGUGAGAAGAACUGAAUGUUAUACUUAUAUCUUUUUUUUGAUCACUUACAAUUUGUGUUAUCGAAUAUUCAUUUCGUUGUCUUAAUCAAC
RNAcentral lists this long non-coding RNA (928 nucleotides) under Brassica rapa (field mustard). RNAcentral describes it as "long non-coding RNA (BRAP_LNC001768)". Lineage: Eukaryota; Viridiplantae; Streptophyta; Magnoliopsida; Brassicales; Brassicaceae. The record is from RNAcentral.